CCUACGGGGCGCAGCAGUGGGGAAUAUUGCACAAUGGGCGCAAGCCUGAUGCAGCCAUGCCGCGUGUGUGAAGAAGGCCUUCGGGUUGUAAAGCACUUUCAGCGGGGAGGAAGGCGUUAAGGUUAAUAACCUUGUCGAUUGACGUUACCCGCAGAAGAAGCACCGGCUAACUCCGUGCCAGCAGCCGCGGUAAUACGGAGGGUGCAAGCGUUAAUCGGAAUUACUGGGCGUAAAGCGCACGCAGGCGGUCUGUCAAGUCGGAUGUGAAAUCCCCGGGCUCAACCUGGGAACUGCAUUCGAAACUGGCAGGCUAGAGUCUUGUAGAGGGGGGUAGAAUUCCAGGUGUAGCGGUGAAAUGCGUAGAGAUCUGGAGGAAUACCGGUGGCGAAGGCGACCCCCUGGACAAAGACUGACGCUCAGGUGCGAAAGCGUGGGGAGCAAACAGGAUUAGAUACCCGUGUAGUC
RNAcentral lists this ribosomal RNA (465 nucleotides) under uncultured Klebsiella sp. RNAcentral's name for it is "bacterial SSU rRNA". It matches the Rfam family "Bacterial small subunit ribosomal RNA", at positions 338 to 795 of the family's 1533-position model. Lineage: Bacteria; Pseudomonadati; Pseudomonadota; Gammaproteobacteria; Enterobacterales; Enterobacteriaceae. The record is from RNAcentral.